AUUAAAAGCUGAUGGUUUGUCAAGGAUCCUCGUGAUCUUUAGAGAUGAGGCUCAGAGCAGCAAGGGAGAUCAGCAUCUCCAUGUCCCAGCCAUGAGUCCAUGAGGAGUGAUCAGUCAAUGGGUCAUCCAGAGGAUUUAAAAGAAUCCAGCUCAGAGCAGCAGGGAAGAUCCUCUUCAUGUCCCAACCAAAAGUCUGUAAGGAGUGAUCAGUGUGUGAGCUGUCCACUGGAUUUAAAAGAAUCUAGUGCUGCCUCACCCCUUGAUCAAAUUCGAGAAGCAGUCCAAUCAAAUCUGAGGAGAUUUCAGUGUUUGUGUGAAGGGAUAUCAAGACAUAGUGACCUCAUACCUCUCAACGAGAUCUACAC
Long non-coding RNA from Sinocyclocheilus anshuiensis, 365 nucleotides. RefSeq lists it as uncharacterized. The record is from RefSeq and is a predicted model, not a curated record. The transcript has 4 exons. Lineage: Eukaryota; Metazoa; Chordata; Actinopteri; Cypriniformes; Cyprinidae.